This 266-nucleotide unclassified non-coding RNA is filed under the name fungal sp. RNAcentral's name for it is "partial internal transcribed spacer region". The stretch from base 1 to 46 matches the Rfam family "Eukaryotic small subunit ribosomal RNA", at positions 1786 to 1831 of the family's 1831-position model. The record is from RNAcentral. Lineage: Eukaryota; Fungi.
AAGUCGUAACAAGGUAACCGUAGGUGAACCUGCGGUUGGAUCAUUAAUGAAUUAUGGCUCAACGUGUAGUUGGGUCUAAUUAGGGGGAGUUUUUUGAUAGUCGAAAGACUUGAUAAAAUUCCCUCGUUUACCUUUGUGAACUGUUGAGACUGGGACUAUUUAUUUAGAACCUUUCUUGACUACCCAAACAUAAAGUCAUUAGAAUCUAGUCUUAAUAAAACAACUUAAAGUUGAAACAACUUUUGACAACGGAUCUCUUGGCUCUC